CCUACGGGUGGCAGCAGUGGGGAAUAUUGCACAAUGGGGGAAACCCUGAUGCAGCGACGCCGCGUGAGGGAAGAAGGAAUUCGUUAUGUAAAGCUCUAUCAGCAGGGAAGAAAAUGCCGUUACCUGAGUAAGAAGCACCGGCUAACUCCGUCCCAGCAGCCGCGGGCAUACGGAGGGGGCAUGAGUUCUCCGGAUUUACUGGGUGUAAAGGGAGCGUAGACGGCAGUGCAAGUCUGGAGUGAAAGGCGCGCGCUCAACCCCCGGACUGCUCUGGAAACUGUACGGCUGGAGUGCCGGAGAGGUAAGUGGAAUUCCAGGUGUAGGGGUGAAAUGCGUAGAUAUUAGGAGGAACACCAGUGGCGAAGGCGGCUUUCUGGACUGUAACUGACGUUGAGGCUCGAAAGCGUGGGUAGCAAACAGGAUUAGAUACCCGAGUAGUC
This 440-nucleotide ribosomal RNA is filed under the name uncultured bacterium. Its description in RNAcentral is "partial 16S ribosomal RNA". It matches the Rfam family "Bacterial small subunit ribosomal RNA", at positions 338 to 795 of the family's 1533-position model. The record is from RNAcentral.